RNAcentral lists this ribosomal RNA (781 nucleotides) under Escherichia coli. Its description in RNAcentral is "partial 23S ribosomal RNA". It matches the Rfam family "Bacterial large subunit ribosomal RNA", at positions 146 to 968 of the family's 2925-position model. Lineage: Bacteria; Pseudomonadati; Pseudomonadota; Gammaproteobacteria; Enterobacterales; Enterobacteriaceae. The record is from RNAcentral.
CACUAUCAUUAACUGAAUCCAUAGGUUAAUGAGGCGAACCGGGGGAACUGAAACAUCUAAGUACCCCGAGGAAAAGAAAUCAACCGAGAUUCCCCCAGUAGCGGCGAGCGAACGGGGAGGAGCCCAGAGCCUGAAUCAGUGUGUGUGUUAGUGGAAGCGUCUGGAAAGGCGCGCGAUACAGGGUGACAGCCCCGUACACAAAAAUGCACAUAUUGUGAGCUCGAUGAGUAGGGCGGGACACGUGGUAUCCUGUCUGAAUAUGGGGGGACCAUCCUCCAAGGCUAAAUACUCCUGACUGACCGAUAGUGAACCAGUACCGUGAGGGAAAGGCGAAAAGAACCCCGGCGAGGGGAGUGAAAAAGAACCUGAAACCGUGUACGUACAAGCAGUGGGAGCCUCUUUAUGGGGUGACUGCGUACCUUUUGUAUAAUGGGUCAGCGACUUAUAUUCUGUAGCAAGGUUAACCGAAUAGGGGAGCCGAAGGGAAACCGAGUCUUAACUGGGCGUUAAGUUGCAGGGUAUAGACCCGAAACCCGGUGAUCUAGCCAUGGGCAGGUUGAAGGUUGGGUAACACUAACUGGAGGACCGAACCGACUAAUGUUGAAAAAUUAGCGGAUGACUUGUGGCUGGGGGUGAAAGGCCAAUCAAACCGGGAGAUAGCUGGUUCUCCCCGAAAGCUAUUUAGGUAGCGCCUCGUGAAUUCAUCUCCGGGGGUAGAGCACUGUUUCGGCAAGGGGGUCAUCCCGACUUACCAACCCGAUGCAAACUGCGAAUACCGGAG